GAUGAACGCUGGCGGCGUGCCUAAUACAUGCAAGUCGAGCGAACGGACGAGAAGCUUGCUUUUCUGAUGUUAGCGGCGGACGGGUGAGUAACACGUGGAUCACCUACCUCUAAUACUUGGAUAACUUCGGGAAACCGGAGCUAAUACCGGAUAAUAUUUUGAACCGCAUGGUUCAAAAGUGAAAGACGGUCUUGCUGUCACUUAUAGAUGGAUCCGCGCUGCAUUAGCUAGUUGGUAAGGUAACGGCUUACCAAGGCAACGAUGCAUAGCCGACCUGAGAGGGUGAUCGGCCACACUGGAACUGAGACACGGUCCAGACUCCUACGGGAGGCAGCAGUAGGGAAUCUUCCGCAAUGGGCGAAAGCCUGACGGAGCAACGCCGCGUGAGUGAUGAAGGUCUUCGGAUCGUAAAACUCUGUUAUUAGGGAAGAACAUAUGUGUAAGUAACUGUGCACAUCUUGACGGUACCUAAUCAGAAAGCCACGGCUAACUACGUG
RNAcentral lists this ribosomal RNA (497 nucleotides) under uncultured bacterium. RNAcentral's name for it is "partial 16S ribosomal RNA". It matches the Rfam family "Bacterial small subunit ribosomal RNA", at positions 28 to 507 of the family's 1533-position model. The record is from RNAcentral.